CACGUCUGUCUGAGCGUCCGUUUCGUUUUCCGUCUCCCCUGCGGGCGUUUGCUUCAAACCCAAACGUUUCUUCGCAGGCGGUGGCGCGUUGAGGCGUCGUCCGGACAACGGGCGUCCCUUGAAGUGCGAA
Molecule: unclassified non-coding RNA, 130 nt
Filed under: cf. Ephydatia fluviatilis UGSB2555
Lineage: Eukaryota; Metazoa; Porifera; Demospongiae; Spongillida; Spongillidae
Description: sequence contains 5.8S rRNA gene, ITS2
Source: RNAcentral